This 465-nucleotide ribosomal RNA is filed under the name uncultured bacterium. RNAcentral describes it as "partial 16S ribosomal RNA". It matches the Rfam family "Bacterial small subunit ribosomal RNA", at positions 339 to 795 of the family's 1533-position model. The record is from RNAcentral.
CUACGGGGUGCACCAGUGGGGAAUAUUGGACAAUGGGCGCAAGCCUGAUCCAGCAAUGCCGCGUGUGUGAAGAAGGCCUGCGGGUUGUAAAGCACUUUCAAUUGGGAGGAAAAGCGGUCGGUUAAUACCCGGCCGACUUGACGUUACCUUUAGAAGAAGCACCGGCUAACUCCGUGCCAGCAGCCGCGGUGAAUACGGAGGGUGCAAGCGUUAAUCGGAAUUACUGGGCGUAAAGCGCGCGUAGGUGGCUAGAUAAGUCGGAUGUGAAAGCCCUGGGCUCAACCUGGGAAUGGCAUUCGAUGCUGUCUGGCUAGAGUCUGGUAGAGGGAAGUGGAAUUCCAGGUGUAGCGGCGAAAUGCGUAGAUAUCUGGAGGAACACCAGUGGCGAAGGCGACUUCCUGGACCAAGACUGACACUGAGGUGCGAAAGCGUGGGUAGCAAACAGGAUUAGAUACCCUAGUAGUC